AGAUUAAGUUAUUAAGGGCGCACGGUGGAUGCCUUGGCACUAGAAGCCGAUGAAGGACGUUACUAACGACGAUAUGCUUUGGGGAGCUGUAAGUAAGCUUUGAUCCAGAGAUUUCCGAAUGGGGAAACCCAGCAUGAGUUAUGUCAUGUUAUCGAUAUGUGAAUACAUAGCAUAUCAGAAGGCACACCCGGAGAACUGAAACAUCUUAGUACCCGGAGGAAGAGAAAGAAAAUUCGAUUCCCUUAGUAGCGGCGAGCGAAACGGGAAGAGCCCAAACCAACAAGCUUGCUUGUUGGGGUUGUAGGACACUCUAUACGGAGUUACAAAGGACGACAUUAGACGAAUCAUCUGGAAAGAUGAAUCAAAGAAGGUAAUAAUCCUGUAGUCGAAAAUGUUGUCUCUCUUGAGUGGAUCCUGAGUACGACG
Molecule: ribosomal RNA, 426 nt
Filed under: Staphylococcus aureus
Lineage: Bacteria; Bacillati; Bacillota; Bacilli; Caryophanales; Staphylococcaceae
Description: bacterial LSU rRNA
Rfam family: Bacterial large subunit ribosomal RNA
Source: RNAcentral